GCCAGCAGCCAUAUCACCCUGCAGCUCGCCACUGGCAGGCCCACUGAAGCUCAGCAGGUGUGAGCCUGGCCAGUACCUGGAUGGGAGAGCUCCUGGGAAAGCUAAGGUUGCUGCUGGAA
This 119-nucleotide ribosomal RNA is filed under the name Lepisosteus oculatus (spotted gar). Lineage: Eukaryota; Metazoa; Chordata; Actinopteri; Semionotiformes; Lepisosteidae. The record is from RNAcentral.